GACGAGGGGUCCAAGCGUUGUUCGGAAUCAUUGGGCGUAAAGCGGGUGUAGGCGGCUCUAUAAGUCAGAAGUGAAAUCCCCGAGCUUAACUUGGGAAGUGCUUUUGAUACUGCAGAGCUUGAAUGUGGGAGAGGGUAGUGGAAUUCCAGGUGUAGUGGUGAAAUGCGUAGAUAUCUGGAGGAACACCGGUGGCGAAGGCAGCUACCUGGCCCAACAUUGACGCUGAGACGCGAAAGCAUGGGGAUCAAACAGG
This 253-nucleotide ribosomal RNA is filed under the name uncultured bacterium. Its description in RNAcentral is "partial 16S ribosomal RNA". It matches the Rfam family "Bacterial small subunit ribosomal RNA", at positions 524 to 776 of the family's 1533-position model. The record is from RNAcentral.